GGCUUACACUUGGAACGCCUUCU
Molecule: microRNA, 23 nt
Filed under: Eisenia fetida (common brandling worm)
Lineage: Eukaryota; Metazoa; Annelida; Clitellata; Crassiclitellata; Lumbricidae
Description: Efe-Mir-2686-o2_5p* (star (passenger))
Source: RNAcentral